GAGUUUGAUCCUGGCUCAGGAUGAACGCUGGCGGCGUGCCUAAUACAUGCAAGUCGAGCGAACGGACGAGAAGCUUGCUUCUCUGAUGUUAGCGGCGGACGGGUGAGUAACACGUGGAUAACCUACCUAUAAGACUGGGAUAACUUCGGGAAACCGGAGCUAAUACCGGAUAAUAUUUUGAACCGCAUGGUUCAAAAGUGAAAGACGGUCUUGCUGUCACUUAUAGAUGGAUCCGCGCUGCAUUAGCUAGUUGGUAAGGUAACGGCUUACCAAGGCAACGAUGCAUAGCCGACCUGAGAGGGUGAUCGGCCACACUGGAACUGAGACACGGUCCAGACUCCUACGGGAGGCAGCAGUAGGGAAUCUUCCGCAAUGGGCGAAAGCCUGACGGAGCAACGCCGCGUGAGUGAUGAAGGUCUUCGGAUCGUAAAACUCUGUUAUUAGGGAAGAACAUAUGUGUAAGUAACUGUGCACAUCUUGACGGUACCUAAUCAGAAAGCCACGGCUAACUACGUGCCAGCAGCCGCGGUAAUACGUAGGUGGCAAGCGUUAUCCGGAAUUAUUGGGCGUAAAGCGCGCGUAGGCGGUUUUUUAAGUCUGAUGUGAAAGCCCACGGCUCAACCGUGGAGGGUCAUUGGAAACUGGAAAACUUGAGUGCAGAAGAGGAAAGUGGAAUUCCAUGUGUAGCGGUGAAAUGCGCAGAGAUAUGGAGGAACACCAGUGGCGAAGGCGACUUUCUGGUCUGUAACUGACGCUGAUGUGCGAAAGCGUGGGGAUCAAACAGGAUUAGAUACCCUGGUAGUCCACGCCGUAAACGAUGAGUGCUAA
RNAcentral lists this ribosomal RNA (828 nucleotides) under Staphylococcus aureus. Its description in RNAcentral is "bacterial SSU rRNA". It matches the Rfam family "Bacterial small subunit ribosomal RNA", at positions 9 to 819 of the family's 1533-position model. The record is from RNAcentral. Lineage: Bacteria; Bacillati; Bacillota; Bacilli; Caryophanales; Staphylococcaceae.